GAUGAAGAACGUAGCGAAAUGCGAUAAGUAAUGUGAAUUGCAGAAUUCAGUGAAUCAUCGAAUCUUUGAACGCACAUUGCGCCCACUGGUAUUCCGGUGGGCAUGCCUGUCCGAGCGUCAUGAAGACCACCUCUAGGCCCUCUGCCUAGCGUUGGGGAUCCGCCCAGGCGGUCCCUCAAAGCUCCCAGCGGAGCCGCGGCAUCCUCUAAGCGUAGUAGUGAAAUCUCGCUUCUGUGGGUGCUGUGGUCCCAGCUGCCAGAACCCCAAGCACAUGGUUGACCUCGGAUCAGGUAGGAAUACCCGCUGAACUUAAGCAUAUCAAUAAGCGGAGGA
This 333-nucleotide unclassified non-coding RNA is filed under the name soil metagenome. RNAcentral's name for it is "partial contains 5.8S ribosomal RNA, internal transcribed spacer 2, and large subunit ribosomal RNA". The stretch from base 1 to 120 matches the Rfam family "5.8S ribosomal RNA", at positions 35 to 154 of the family's 154-position model. The record is from RNAcentral.